Molecule: non-coding RNA, 90 nt
Filed under: Streptococcus suis
Lineage: Bacteria; Bacillati; Bacillota; Bacilli; Lactobacillales; Streptococcaceae
Also listed under: 3 other names
Description: TPP sequence
Rfam family: TPP riboswitch aptamer (THI element)
About the family: Vitamin B(1) in its active form thiamin pyrophosphate (TPP) is an essential coenzyme that is synthesised by coupling of pyrimidine and thiazole moieties in bacteria.
Source: RNAcentral
AUAGAACAUUUGGGGUGCCAAGAGGCUGAGAUUAUACCCAUCGAACCUGAUGCAGUUAGGACUGCCGAAGGGAAAUGUGUAUCAACAAAU